Molecule: long non-coding RNA, 933 nt
Filed under: Nicotiana benthamiana
Lineage: Eukaryota; Viridiplantae; Streptophyta; Magnoliopsida; Solanales; Solanaceae
Description: long non-coding RNA (NBEN_LNC031284)
Source: RNAcentral
AUCACGGAUCCCACAUGGAACUAUCUGCUGAAAGGGAGCCAGAUCUGUGGUGACAUUCAGCGCUAGGCCAUGAUACGUGACCCAUUGAGAUACUCUAAUACCAAUUGCAGCUAAUUUGCGACCUUCUGAAAGAAGCCAGUGUUAGACCAGUAUUUCAUGCCUCCCUUCAGAAUUAACAACAACAACAACUACGAGAAAUAAUAACAACUCCUACGAGAAAUUGUUCUAAAUCACCAAUAUCAUUCAUAUGCCCCAGAGCACAUAAGGGACCUUCAAUACAAACUAUUUUAACUAACUAUUUUCACCUAAACCUUUAUAACCACAGUAUCUUAAAAUCUUGUUUAGAAAUAUCUGAUAAUACUGUUGCAGACUGAUAUAGGCCAUCCAAAUAAUAUGGAGAUUCAGAACUUACCGACCCAAACACCAGUUAAACCGUCAACUCUGGAAGCCUCCAUAGAAAAUGAUGAAGAAAGAACACGUAUCAUCACCUCCUCAAGGCUCCUGAGGUACCAAUGAAGGUCCAUCUUAUGAUAUCGGAGAUUGAUGAUUGGGUACAUAACUAGCUACAAUUUCAGAUAAAAGCAUCACAUGUCAGAAGUAUAGAGCUCAAACGAACACAUGAUUCAAAGUCUUUAAGCACAUAUGCAAAUCCUAAGUAAUACAUUUCAAAAAGGGGAAACCUAACACCAUCUACACAUCCCUGCCCCAGCAGUUAAACAGUGGAGAGUAUAACAGCAGUCUUGUCAAAGCCCCAUUUCAGCUUACCAACAUCUGAUUAGAGAACUUAGAAUAGAAACUUUGCAAGCCCUUGAAUCAAUGCCAUCAAGCAUUAAAAACAACCUAUUCAGUCAGCUGAAGAGCACACUACGAAAAAUGAGGAUCAUACUGCAUCAAUACAAUUGGGGAAGUAGGCAGCAAGUGAAAAUGUACCUG